GAUGAACGCUAGCGGCAGGCUUAACACAUGCAAGUCGAGGGGUAACAGGGAAAAGCUUGCUUUUCUGCUGACGACCGGCGCACGGGUGCGUAACGCGUAUACAAUCUGCCUUAUACAGAGGGAUAGCCUUUAGAAAUGAAGAUUAAUACCUUAUAGUCUAUAUAUAUAGCAUUAUAUAAAUAGUAAAGCUUCGGUGGUAUAAGAUGAGUAUGCGUCCUAUUAGUUAGUUGGUGAGGUAACGGCUUACCAAGACAACGAUAGGUAGGGGCCCUGAGAGGGGGAUCCCCCACACUGGUACUGAGACACGGACCAGACUCCUACGGGAGGCAGCAGUGAGGAAUAUUGGACAAUGGAGGCAACUCUGAUCCAGCCAUGCCGCGUGCAGGAAGACGGCCCUAUGGGUUGUAAACUGCUUUUAUAUAGGAAGAAACCUUUUCACGUGUGAGAAGCUGACGGUACUAUAAGAAUAAGGACCGGCUAACUCCGUG
RNAcentral lists this ribosomal RNA (488 nucleotides) under uncultured bacterium. Its description in RNAcentral is "bacterial SSU rRNA". It matches the Rfam family "Bacterial small subunit ribosomal RNA", at positions 28 to 507 of the family's 1533-position model. The record is from RNAcentral.